AUUGAACGCUGGCGGCGUGCCUAACACAUGCAAGUCGAGCGGUAACAGGUGUAGCAAUACAUGCUGACGAGCGGCGGACGGGUGAGUAACGCUUGGGAAUCUGCCUAUUAGUGGGGGACAACCCGGGGAAACUCGGGCUAAUACCGCAUACGCUCUACGGAGGAAAGCCGGGGACCGCAAGGCCUGGCGCUAAUAGAUGAGCCCAAGUCGGAUUAGCUAGUUGGUAGGGUAAUGGCCUACCAAGGCGACGAUCCGUAACUGGUCUGAGAGGACGACCAGUCACACCGGAACUGAGACACGGUCCGGACUCCUACGGGAGGCAGCAGUGGGGAAUAUUGGACAAUGGGCGAAAGCCUGAUCCAGCGACGCCGCGUGGGUGAAGAAGGCCUGCGGGUUGUAAAGCCCUUUCAGUGGGGAAGAAAAGUCUCGACCUAAUACGUCGGGACCUUGACGUAACCCACUAAAGAAGCACCGGCUAACUCUGUGCCAGCAGCCGCCGUAAU
RNAcentral lists this ribosomal RNA (503 nucleotides) under uncultured bacterium. RNAcentral describes it as "bacterial SSU rRNA". It matches the Rfam family "Bacterial small subunit ribosomal RNA", at positions 29 to 524 of the family's 1533-position model. The record is from RNAcentral.